Molecule: long non-coding RNA, 487 nt
Organism: Hirundo rustica (Barn swallow)
Lineage: Eukaryota; Metazoa; Chordata; Aves; Passeriformes; Hirundinidae
Exons: 4
Source: RefSeq, a predicted model, not a curated record
GAGCCUUGGAUUCUUGGAAUGGAACAGAAUAUUGGGAUUAUUCUGGGCUGAACCCAAGUGUGGGCAGCAGGAAAGGGAUUGGGGUUGUGCCCCUGUGCCCCUGAGCACUGUGAGCGACGGCCCCAAGAGAACCAUCAGGGUCAAAGCUGGGAUUUCUGGAGAGCUUCAGCCACGUCAGAUGAGGAAACCAGGAGCUGGUCCCAGGCUUUUGAGGGAGAAACUGUUGCAAGAAGAUUCCCUGUGAAGAGAAAAAAGUGUCCAGUUGAAAGCAUUCCAGAUCUCCCAAGCUUCCUGCCUCCUUGGAAAAACUUGGGAGAGGGAAAAUGGAGGCUCCUGAGUCGGAUCUUCUUUCCUGAGGGGAGGUGUCUUAUCCCACAUGGUUUUAGGAAUAAAUGGAGAUACCAGCAGCACUUCCCAACCCUCUGGAGAUUCCUUUAUUCUGCCUGGAUGUGAACUGGGGGAGCGAGGCCUCUCCGACCGUUUUCCA